UACGGUGGCGAAAGCAAGAAGGAUACACCUGUUCCCAUGCCGAACACAGAAGUUAAGCUUCUUAACGCCGAAAGUAGUUGGUGGGCAACUGCC
RNAcentral lists this ribosomal RNA (93 nucleotides) under Lactobacillus delbrueckii subsp. bulgaricus. Lineage: Bacteria; Bacillati; Bacillota; Bacilli; Lactobacillales; Lactobacillaceae. The record is from RNAcentral.